This 85-nucleotide microRNA precursor is filed under the name Myotis lucifugus (little brown bat). RNAcentral's name for it is "miRNA (ENSMLUG00000027614.1)". The record is from RNAcentral. Lineage: Eukaryota; Metazoa; Chordata; Mammalia; Chiroptera; Vespertilionidae.
AUAUAUAUAUAUAUAUAUAUGUGUGUGUGUGUGUGUGUGUGUGUGUGUGUGUAUAUUAUACACACACAUAUACAUAUACACAUAU